AGGGAAAUAGCUCAGUGGUAGAGUGCGUGCUCUGCGUGCAUGAGGUCCUGGGUUCGAUUCCCAGUGCCCCAU
Molecule: transfer RNA, 72 nt
Organism: Camelus ferus (Wild Bactrian camel)
Lineage: Eukaryota; Metazoa; Chordata; Mammalia; Artiodactyla; Camelidae
Rfam family: tRNA
About the family: Transfer RNA (tRNA) molecules are approximately 80 nucleotides in length. Their secondary structure includes four short double-helical elements and three loops (D, anti-codon, and T loops).
Source: Rfam